Molecule: ribosomal RNA, 468 nt
Filed under: uncultured bacterium
Lineage: Bacteria
Description: partial 16S ribosomal RNA
Rfam family: Bacterial small subunit ribosomal RNA
Source: RNAcentral
GACGAACGCUGGCGGCGUGCUUAACACAUGCAAGUCGAACGGAAAGGCCCUGCUUUUGUGGGGUGCUCGAGUGGCGAACGGGUGAGUAACACGUGAGUAACCUGCCCUUGACUUUGGGAUAUCUUCAGGAAACUGGGGCUAAUACCGGAUAGGAGCUCCUGCUUCAUGGUGGGGGUUGGAAAGUUUCGGCGGUUGGGGAUGGACUCGCGGCUUAUCAGCUUGUUGGUGGGGUAGUGGCUUACCAAGGCUUUGACGGGUAGCCGGCCUGAGAGGGUGACCGGCCACAUUGGGACUGAGAUACGGCCCAGACUCCUACGGGAGGCAGCAGUGGGGAAUAUUGCACAAUGGGCGGAAGCCUGAUGCAGCAACGCCGCGUGCGGGAUGACGGCCUUCGGGUUGUAAACCGCUUUCGCCUGUGACGAAGCGUGAGUGACGGUAAUGGGUAAAGAAGCACCGGCUAACUACGUG